ACGGAGGGUGCAAGCGUUAUCCGGAUUCACUGGGUUUAAAGGGAGCGUAGGCGGGCAUUUAAGUCCGUGGUGAAAGCCCUCAGCUCAACUGAGGAACUGCCAUGGAUACUAUUUGUCUUGAAUGUCGUUGAGGUUUGCGGAAUGGGUCAUGUAGCGGUGAAAUGCUUAGAUAUGACCCGGAACACCAAUUGCGAAGGCAGCAGGCUAAACGAAUAUUGACGCUGAGGCUCGAAAGCGUGGGGAUCAAACAGGAUUAGAUACCCUGGUAGUCCACGCCCUAAACGAUGAUUACUCGACAUACGUGAUAUGACAAUGUGUGUCUGAGCGAAAGCAUUAAGUAAUCCACCUGGGAAGUACGACCGCAAGGUUG
Molecule: ribosomal RNA, 370 nt
Filed under: uncultured bacterium
Lineage: Bacteria
Description: bacterial SSU rRNA
Rfam family: Bacterial small subunit ribosomal RNA
Source: RNAcentral